ACGCAGCCCGGUGUGUCUUUACACAUGCAAGUCGAACGGUGAAUCAGAGCUUUGCUCUGUGGAUCAGUGGCGAACGGGUGAGUAUUCACGUGAGCAAUCUGCGACCUGACUAUGUGGAUAAGCGCUGGAAACGGCGUCUAAUACCGGAUACGAGCUGCGGCCGCAUGGUCAGUAGUUGGAAAGAAUUUCGGUCAGGGAUGAGCUAGCGGCCUAUCAGCUUGUUGGUGAGGUAAUGGCUCACCAAGGCGUAGACGGGUAGCCGGCGUGAGAGGGUGACCGGCCACACUGUGACUGAGACACGGCCCAGACUCUUACGGGAGGCAACAGUGGGGAAUAUUGCACAAUGGGCGAAAGCCUGAUGCAGCAACACCGCGUGAGGGAUGACGGCCUUCGGGUUGUAAACCUCUUUUAGCAGGGAAGAAGCGAAAGUGACGGUGCCUGCAGAAAAAGCGCCGGCUAACUACGUGACAACAGCCGCGGUAAUCCGUAGGGCGCAAGCGUUAUCCGGAAUUAUUGGGCGUAAAGAGCUCGUAGGCGGUCUGUCGCGUCUGCUGUGAAAACCCGAGGCUCAACCUCGGGCCUGCAGUGGGUACGGGCAGACUAGAGUGCGGUAGGGGAGAUUGGAAUUCCUGGUGUAGCGGUGGAAUGCGCAGAUAUCAGGAGGAACACCGAUGGCGAAGGCAGAUCUCUGGGCCGUAACUGACGCUGAGGAGCGAAAGGGUGGGGAGCAAACAGGCUUAGAUACCCUGGUAGUCCACCCCGUAAACGUUGGGAACUAGUUGUGGGGUCCAUUCCACGGAUUCCGUGACGCAGCUAACGCAUUAAGUUCCCCGCCUGGGGAGUACGGCCGCAAGGCUAAAACUCAAAGGAAUUGACGGGGACCCGCACAAGCGGCGGAGCAUGCGGAUUAAUUCGAUGCAACGCGAAGAACCUUACCAAGGCUUGACAUAUAGAGGAAACGUCUGGAAACAGUCGCCCCGCAAGGUCUCUAUACAGGUGGUGCAUGGUUGUCGUCAGCUCGUGUCGUGAGAUGUUGGGUUAAGUCCCGCAACGAGCGCAACCCUCGUUCUAUGUUGCCAGCACGUAAUGGUGGGAACUCAUGGGAUACUGCCGGGGUCAACUCGGAGGAAGGUGGGGAUGACGUCAAAUCAUCAUGCCCCUUAUGUCUUGGGCUUCACGCAUGCUACAAUGGCCGGUACAAAGGGCUGCAAUACCGUGAGGUGGAGCGAAUCCCAAAAAGCCGGUCCCAGUUCGGAUUGAGGUCUGCAACUCGACCUCAUGAAGUCGGAGUCGCUAGUAAUCGCAGAUCAGCAACGCUGCGGUGAAUACGUUCCCGGGUCUUGUACACACCGCCCGUCAAGUCAUGAAAGUCGGUAACACCUGAAGCCGGUGGCCCAACCCUUGUGGAGGGAGCCGUCGAAGGUGGGAUCGGUAAUUAGGACUAAGUCGUAACAAGGUAGCCGUACCG
RNAcentral lists this ribosomal RNA (1468 nucleotides) under Microbacterium sp. RNAcentral describes it as "bacterial SSU rRNA". It matches the Rfam family "Bacterial small subunit ribosomal RNA". The record is from RNAcentral. Lineage: Bacteria; Bacillati; Actinomycetota; Actinomycetes; Micrococcales; Microbacteriaceae.